GACGAACGCUGGCGGCGUGCUUAACACAUGCAAGUCGAACGGAAAGGCCCUGCUUUUGUGGGGUGCUCGAGUGGCGAACGGGUGAGUAACACGUGAGUAACCUGCCCUUGACUUUGGGAUAACUUCAGGAAACUGGGGCUAAUACCGGAUAGGAGCUCCUGCUGCAUGGGGGGGGUUGGAAAGUUUCGGCGGUUGGGGAUGGACUCGCGGCUUAUCAGCUUGUUGGUGGGGUAGUGGCUUACCAAGGCUUUGACGGGUAGCCGGCCUGAGAGGGUGACCGGCCACAUUGGGACUGAGAUACGGCCCAGACUCCUACGGGAGGCAGCAGUGGGGAAUAUUGCAGAAUGGGCGGAAGCCUGAUGCAGCAACGCCGCGUGCGGGAUGACGGCCUUCGGGUUGUAAACCGCUUUCGCCUGUGACGAAGCGUGAGUGACGGUAAUGGGUAAAGAAGCACCGGCUAACUACGUG
RNAcentral lists this ribosomal RNA (468 nucleotides) under uncultured bacterium. Its description in RNAcentral is "partial 16S ribosomal RNA". It matches the Rfam family "Bacterial small subunit ribosomal RNA", at positions 28 to 507 of the family's 1533-position model. The record is from RNAcentral.